UAGGUGAUUCUUGACGCAAAGCUAAAAG
Molecule: small RNA, 28 nt
Filed under: Bombyx mori (domestic silkworm)
Lineage: Eukaryota; Metazoa; Arthropoda; Insecta; Lepidoptera; Bombycidae
Description: ovarian small RNA-22787
Source: RNAcentral